CCAGCUGCUGCUGCAGGAGGACGCCGCCGUUCUGCUCGAAGAACCGCCGCUUCGCCUGGAGCAGCCGCCGCUUCUGAACCCACAGGUGCGAGGAGAAGCUCGCCAGCAGCAGCAGCAACACGCCCGCACUGACGCCCGUGACGAUCUUCAGUGGCAAACCGAAUUUGUUGUCGUCGUCUCGGCGGCAGCCAUCCUGUACAGUGGCGUUCCCACUGGACCCAUUGGGACAUGUGCAGAGGAAGCUUCCCGGCGUGUUGACGCACACGCCGUAGCACGGAAACUCGUCCCUGUGCCGGCACUCGUCGACGUCCGUGCAGCCGUCGGUCACGUAUGGGUUGCCCUGGUACCCGCCGGUGCAGUUGCAGACGUACCCGGGGCCGUUGCUGGACUCGAGGCAGACG
This 401-nucleotide unclassified non-coding RNA is filed under the name Zea mays. RNAcentral's name for it is "misc RNA Zm00001eb408060". Lineage: Eukaryota; Viridiplantae; Streptophyta; Magnoliopsida; Poales; Poaceae. The record is from RNAcentral.